RNAcentral lists this ribosomal RNA (514 nucleotides) under uncultured bacterium. RNAcentral's name for it is "bacterial SSU rRNA". It matches the Rfam family "Bacterial small subunit ribosomal RNA", at positions 8 to 518 of the family's 1533-position model. The record is from RNAcentral.
AGGGUUCGAUUCUGGCUCAGGAUGAACGCUAGCGGCAGGCUUAACACAUGCAAGUCGAGGGGCAACGCGAGUAGCAAUACUUGGCGGCGACCGGCGCAAGGGUGCGUAACGCGUGAGCAACAUGCCCGUAUCAGGGGGAUAAUCCAGGGAAACUUGGUCUAAUACCCCAUAGUAAUUUUGUAAGGCAUCUUAUAAGAUUUAAAGCUUUGGUGGAUACGGAUUGGCUCGCGUGACAUUAGCUGGAUGGUAAGGUAACGGCUUACCAUGGCUAUGAUGUCUAGGGGUUCUGAGAGGAAGGUCCCCCACACUGGAACUGAGACACGGUCCAGACUCCUACGGGAGGCAGCAGUGAGGAAUAUUGGACAAUGGAUGGAAAUCUGAUCCAGCCAUGCCGCGUGAAGGAAGAGGUCCUAUGGAUUGUAAACUUCUUUUGUAUGGGAGCAAUAAGGCCUACGAGUAGGCUGAUGAGAGUACCAUACGAAUAAGCACCGGCUAACUCCGUGCCAGCCGCCGC